UGCGGUUACACAAAAAUUAAAAUAAAUUUUUUUAGUAAUUAAUUAAUAAUAAAUAAAAUAUUAAUUUAAAUUUUAAUUUAUUAAGUGAAAUUUUAAUUUAAAUAAAAAUUAUUUUUAUGAAAUUAAUAAAUUUUAGGUAUAGACUAGGAUUAGAUACCCUAUUAUUAAAAAAUUAAAUUUAAUAUACUAAAAUAUUAAGUAGAUUAUUGAAACUUAAAUAAUUUGGCGGUAUUUUAGUUCAUUUAGAGGAAUCUGUCUAAUAAUUGAUAGUCCACGAAUAAAUUUACUUAAUUUAUUAUUUUGUAUAUCGUUGUUAAAAAAAUAUUUUUUAAUAAUUAAUAAUAUUUUAGAAUUUUAAAAAUAAAUUAAAUCAGAUCAAGAUGCAGAUUAUAAUUAAGAAUAUGAUGGAUUACAAUAAAGUUAUUUAAGUGAAAAUUAAAUUGAAAUAUUUAAUUGAAAAUGGAUUUAAAUGUAAUUUUUUUUAAUUUAAAAAAAUGAUUAAUAAUUAAAAUAUGUACAUAUUGCCCGUCGCUUUCAUUUUAAAAUUGAAAUAAGUCGUAACAAAGUAGAGGUACUGGAAAGUGUUUCUAGAAAGAG
RNAcentral lists this ribosomal RNA (597 nucleotides) under Aglaope infausta. RNAcentral's name for it is "partial 12S ribosomal RNA". The record is from RNAcentral. Lineage: Eukaryota; Metazoa; Arthropoda; Insecta; Lepidoptera; Zygaenidae.